This is a long non-coding RNA of Phyllostomus discolor (pale spear-nosed bat), 1196 nucleotides long. RefSeq lists it as uncharacterized. The record is from RefSeq and is a predicted model, not a curated record. NCBI's taxonomy places the organism in Eukaryota, Metazoa, Chordata, Mammalia, Chiroptera, Phyllostomidae. The transcript is spliced from 3 exons.
CUGCUCCGGGGGACCGCCGUCCCCCGCCCCCUUCCCCCAGACGCCACCACCCGGGCCAAAUCGGUCAGAGCGCAGCGGCCUGGGGAGGGCGGAGGGCUGCGGCGGGGCUGGCAGGCAAGUGGCUGCACCUCCCGGGACGCGGUUGGGGCUGCGCUGCUUCCGGCCCCCUCACUAGCUGCCUCCACCCGGGGUUCGGAUUUGUCUCUUUGCACCGGGCCGGGAAAACUGAGGCUCUUUUCCAAUAAUGAAAACUGCAAUUAAUGCUCCCACGGCCAUAAAGCUAACCCAUAGCCCCAGCCCCAGCUCCAACCUGUGACCCUCUCACUGGCGAGGACUGCUCCCCUAAACACCGAAAAGGAAAUUAAUGUCGUUCUAAUUAGGAAUCCCCCAGUCAUGUUUGAAGUCGGCAAGUCCAAACAGCGGAGGAGACCGCGGCCUGGAAUCUGCCCAGCCUCGGUGCCAGCCUCGCGUUCUCCCCUCACUGCCCACUGACUUGGAGAUCAAACCGCUGGGCCCUGCUGAACAGAUCCUGCCCCCCCACACCCCCAUUCCCUUUCGUCUCUUCCUUUGUCACUCCAGGGCCCCUAAUUGUCGGAGGGACUUGAAUCAUUACUGAAAGAUGUCUAAGUUCCCAGACACCAAACCCGUUCAAAGAGAGGCAUGGGCGCCCAAAAAAGCAGCUCAGAGAAGUACAGGGGACACGUUCCGGGUCCCAGAUUUAGCCAAUCGCGUCUUUGGGAAAACUCUCAGCUGUUUCGCUGGGCCUCAUCCUCCCUCUCCGUCAUCCCCUCGAGCCUUGGCUGGCCCCCAGGGUCUCCUUUCUGGGUUCCCUUUGGGCCUGGGACACCCGUGAGACCUUCGGCUGUGCUACAGGUAGGCCCUGGCUCCUCGGUAACCCGCCCUGCGUGCACCUCACUCUGAUAAACGCUGCUCCCGGGCAAAGCCUCUCCUCGGUUACCCCGCCCAAGGAGACCCCCCUUUCCUCUGAGUCAUGUUUUUCAUCCAACCUUGCAUGAUCUAAGUCUUAUCUUCCUAAGACAAGAAGAGAAUGGGUAUGGCUCGAAAAAGAGGAUACGGCCACUAACACGCGUGACCCACAGAUGUGAACAAAGGUGUGGGAUGGCCCAAGGGAGCAGAAGGGGGUUCUGGGUGGAGGGGGGCGGAGGGGGAAAAACUGAGACAACUGUAACAGCAUA